This 253-nucleotide ribosomal RNA is filed under the name uncultured bacterium. Its description in RNAcentral is "partial 16S ribosomal RNA". It matches the Rfam family "Bacterial small subunit ribosomal RNA", at positions 524 to 776 of the family's 1533-position model. The record is from RNAcentral.
UACGUAGGGUGCGAGCGUUGUCCGGAAUUAUUGGGCGUAAAGAGCUCGUAGGCGGUUUGUCGCGUUGUUCGUGAAAACUCACAGCUCAACUGUGGGCGUGCGGGCGAUACGGGCAGACUGGAGUACUGCAGGGGAGACUGGAAUUCCUGGUGUAGCGGUGGAAUGCGCAGAUAUCAGGAGGAACACCGGUGGCGAAGGCGGGUCUCUGGGCCGUAACUGACGCUGAGGAGCGAAAGCAUGGGGAGCGAACAGG